Molecule: ribosomal RNA, 443 nt
Filed under: uncultured bacterium
Lineage: Bacteria
Description: partial 16S ribosomal RNA
Rfam family: Bacterial small subunit ribosomal RNA
Source: RNAcentral
CCUACGGGAGGCAGCAGUGGGGAAUAUUGGGCAAUGGAGGCAACUCUGACCCAGCAACGCCGCGUGAAUGAUGAAGGUCUUCGGAUUGUAAAGUUCUGUGAUGGGGGAUGAACACAAUGACGGUACCCCAAUAGCAAGCCACGGCUAACUACGUGCCAGCAGCCGCGGUAAUACGUAGGUGGCAAGCGUUAUCCGGAAUGACUGGGCGUAAAGGGUGCGUAGGUGGUUUAGUAAGUUGGCGGUGUAAUUCCGGGGCUCAACCUCGGCGCUACCGCCAAAACUAUUAGACGAGAGUAAUGGAGGGGGAACCGGAAUUCUCGGUGUAGCAGUGAAAUGCGUAGAUAUCGAGAGGAACACUCGUGGCGAAGGCGGGUUCCUGGACAUUAACUGACGCUGAGGCACGAAGGCCAGGGGAGCGAAAGGGAUUAGAUACCCGGGUAGUC